CCUACGGGAGGCAGCAGUGGGGAAUAUUUCACAAUGGGGGAAACCCUGAUGCAGCGACGCCGCGUGAGUGAAGAAGUAAUUCGUUAUGUAAAGCUCUAUCAGCAGGGAAGAAACUGACGGUACCUGAGUAAUAAGCCCCGGCUAACUACGUGCCAGCAGCCGCGGUAAUACGUAGGGGGCAAGCGUUAUCCGGAUUUACUGGGUGUAAAGGGUGCGUAGACGGCAGUGCAAGUCUGGAGUGAAAGGCGGGGGCUCAACCCCCGGACUGCUCUGGAAACUGUACGGCUGGAGUGCAGGAGAGGUAAGUGGAAUUCCUAGUGUAGCGGUGAAAUGCGUAGAUAUUAGGAGGAACACCAGUGGCGAAGGCGGCUUACGGGACUGUAACUGACGUUGAGGCUCGAAAGCGUGGGGAGCAAACAGGAUUAGAUACCCGAGUAGUC
Molecule: ribosomal RNA, 440 nt
Filed under: uncultured bacterium
Lineage: Bacteria
Description: partial 16S ribosomal RNA
Rfam family: Bacterial small subunit ribosomal RNA
Source: RNAcentral